Molecule: ribosomal RNA, 485 nt
Filed under: Salmonella enterica
Lineage: Bacteria; Pseudomonadati; Pseudomonadota; Gammaproteobacteria; Enterobacterales; Enterobacteriaceae
Description: partial 23S ribosomal RNA
Rfam family: Bacterial large subunit ribosomal RNA
Source: RNAcentral
GUAUAGACCCGAAACCCGGUGAUCUAGCCAUGGGCAGGUUGAAGGUUGGGUAACACUAACUGGAGGACCGAACCGACUAAUGUUGAAAAAUUAGCGGAUGACCUGUGGCUGGGGGUGAAAGGCCAAUCAAACCGGGAGAUAGCUGGUUCUCCCCGAAAGCUAUUUAGGUAGCGCCUCGUGAAUUCAUCUCCGGGGGUAGAGCACUGUUUCGGCCAGGGGGCCAUCCCGGCUUACCAAUCCGAUGCAAACUGCGAAUACCGGAGAAUGUUAUCACGGGAGACACACGGCGGGUGCUAACGUCCGUCGUGAAGAGGGAAACAACCCAGACCGCCAGCUAAGGUCCCAAAGUCAUGGUUAAGUGGGAAACGAUGUGGGAAGGCCCAGACAGCCAGGAUGUUGGCUUAGAAGCAGCCAUCAUUUAAAGAAAGCGUAAUAGCUCACUGGUCGAGUCGGCCUGCGCGGAAGAUGUAACGGGGCUAAACCAU